Molecule: long non-coding RNA, 3877 nt
Organism: Cryptomeria japonica (Japanese cedar)
Lineage: Eukaryota; Viridiplantae; Streptophyta; Pinopsida; Cupressales; Cupressaceae
Exons: 4
Source: RefSeq, a predicted model, not a curated record
AUGUUAUAAAUCUUGCAUGCUGUGAUACAAGAUCAACAAUUCAUGUGCCAUUGAAACACUACAAAUUCAAGAUAGGGAAGAAAAAAGAUCAGAAGCUGGAGUGGAGAUUGAAAUCAACGAGACUAGAUCACUGAAUCUUUUAAAUAGAAUGAAACUUAUAUCGUGGUGAAAGCCCAGAUUCUUGUUAUGGCUGGGUACCAAUACAGAUUUUUCUAUCAUAGACUAUCUGUUAUGUGAGAUUUGCAUCUUGGUGGAAGAUUUUCUAGUUUAAGAUGCUCGAAUGGGUUAGGAAUUCAAAGUCGGAUUAUCCUUUACAAGCACAUCUACCAAUUGCCCUGCAACCAAGUUUAGGGUAAUAAAAUUUUGUUAAAACAACAAUAUAUAUUGGAAAAAACAGGUGGUUGGAAGAAAAACUGGGACAAGAGUCACAAUUUGUGAUCCAUUUCACUCAUCCUGAUGAUUGAGCAGGAAAAUGUGAUCUAAUAGGUGGUUUCUAUCCCAAAAAAAAUUGUUACAUUUUUUCAGAAACCUGUUUCUAUAAUAUAGUACUUCAUGUAUUUAAAUAAUUUUUCUAGAUAUGGUGAUUGUCCUGAUUGCCCUUAAGCUAACAUACAGAGAACAAAUAAAAACAGAACAUCAAUAGAUUGAGUACCUAUCCAAAUCAGGUGGCAAAAGCAAAACAAGUGUGGCGUAUACUUACACUUACAGCAUUGUGUCCUAGGCCUUCACUGUGCAUAAAUCUCUUGACAAAUUGACUGAGUAAGUUUUUGUUCAAUUUAUGUUAUUGAACCCUCUGAAAACUAUUAGGCGUCCCACCUAAUAAUUCUUUUGCUGAAGCUGGAGCAGAGUCUGCUUAAAAGUUAUGUAAGCAAUUUCUGUGCUGAAGCUUAUUUUAUAAUCAUGAUCAUCAUGUGAAUGCACAUCAGUUGUGCUACCAUAGCCAAUUUAGUAGACUCUGGUUGUUCUAUUGCUGGAUCGGGAAAUGGGACUGUAGAUGAGAUAGUACCAAUAGCAUUGAUUAACGGUACAGAAGUGUACAUUAAAGUGCGUGGGAAGAAAGCAUUAAGUUUCACUUUUAACUCUAGGGGAAUUUAUUUCUAAGCCUUCAAGAUAUUUGGAGACGUGGAAAAUGUUUCUGACAAUUGGAUGUGUAAUCAAAGUUUUAGUUCUUUUUGUUGGUUUUGGGAAAUCAUUUGCAAUGUAAAAGGGCUUGGCAAUGAGGGAAGGUCAAGCUGUAUGAAGCAUGCUGUGUCGAAAACUUUGAUUCUGGAUUUCUUUUAUAUCUUAUAUAUUGAUUAACUAAGGCUUCUGGACCAAAUGCUAGUCCAUUCUUAUGCCUGAAUAUAAAAUUCUGCAUCUCUAAGCAUUGUUUACCAGGUCCCAGAUGAUCCAAUAUACAUAACUGCAAGAGGAAUCAAUCCAUCUUUGUGAAACUUAAAAGUCACAACUCUAGGUAACCAGCAAUAGGAUGUGUGGUACCUAAUUAGGCAGCUUCCUGGUGUAAAACUUAGCGUGAACCAUAUCCUACACAUUAGUAUUUUUUUGAUUAAUUUUGCUAUAUCUUUUGCAAGAAUAGUGUCACCAGGAAAUUACAUUUAAAUGCAGCUACCAGGAGAUUUGAGUACAUCCUGGGUUCAAUUUUCCUGGUGAAUCUUUGCAAUGAAUUUCUUUAGUGUGGUGGUACUGUAUUCUCUUCAUAGAUUUCAUUAGCCAUGACUAAUUACUUUUUUUGUGCUGAUCUUGUCCCCUGUUAUAUACUCGGUACAUGUUUUUGGUAGAAGAGUGCUCCUGCAACUGUGUUUCUUGUUCUCAGCUUCAUUUUAUUAUAUGAAGGCUUUUUCCUGUUAAUCCACAGAAACUGUUUGAGAAUUACAUAAGCAUUGAAACUCGUGCACCUUUGCCUCCUGCAAUGGUUUUAUUUUCAGCUGACGGGUGACAAAAUUUCUCUUAUUCAAGGUUGUGCUUUACAUCCAUGCUAGAGGCGUAUUUCAAAACUAGCCGAGCACAAAUCAGAUGCACCAUAAAUGCUUUGUCUUUCAUUCGAUACAAAGUCGGUCUACAUGAUAGCAACUUAUAAUGGUUCCAAUAAGGGCACUAACUCUGUCUUCACAAAAUAAUUACAAGGCAUCCAAAUCCAGGAAAGGAUACUAAUUGCUUUCAUUGAUAAAAUAAAAACCUGUCUUUCAAUUUGGUAGUAAUUGGUGAACAUUAUCUUCAACAAUCAGUAGCUGAUAGUUGUUUUCUGGCAUCAAACAGACCUGAGAUUAAAAUUUAUAGCACAUGCUAGCAAAAUCAUGUGCAUUCACAUCCUUUUCUUAGAAUUACUUUCAUAUCCUCUAUGAGUAUCUUUUACGACUGUGCUUGUUAAUUAGACAUACCUUUUGUCUUCAUCCUUUCUGGAUCGGGAUUGCUUAGCAUAUAAUGUUGAUCAGUGUUAUUUAACUCUCAUCCUUUCUUUGAAAAGCAGUAUAGUUUAUAUGCAGGCCUCAUCUAUGAUGCUUUUGCCUGCCAAUCCACAGAAACUGUUUGAGAAACACGUUAAGUUUUUACAACUCAUGCACCCUUGCCUCCUGAAAUGAUUUUAUUUUCAGCUAAUAGGUAACUAAUUUUUUCUCAUUUAAGUCUGUGCUAUGCAUGCGUACUUGAGGUGUAUUUCAAAACUAGCUUAACAAAAGUUGGAUGCACCAUAAAUGCUUUCUUUUUCAUUCUAGACAAAGUGGGCCUGCAUGAUGGCACCUUACAAUGAUUCCAAUUUGGGUACUAAUUUUGUUUCUGUAAAAUAAUUAUAGGGCAUCCAACUCCAGAAAGCAAUGCUGAUUUAGAAAGAAAAAGUUGUAUUGCAUUAUUUAAUAAAACCUGUUUUUCCAUUUGGUAAUGAUUUGUGAACAUUGUAUCUUUGGCAAUGAGUAGCGAAUUGUUGUUUUCUGGCAUCAAGCAGAACUGAGAUUAAGAUUUCUAGUGCAUAAUGGCAAAAUUGUGGGCAUUCACACAAAUGUUUUUAGUAUCAUCUUCAAAUCCUCUUUAAGGAUCUUUUAGGACUCUUCUUAUUAAUUAGACACAUCUUUUCUCUUCAUCCUUUUUGAAUCUGGAUUACUUAGCAUAUAAUGUCAAUCUGUGUUAUUUAACUCGCAUCUAUUUUACCAUUUUCUCUGAAAAGUAGCCUAGUUUGUUUUAGAUACAGCUCUCGUCUAUGACCUAUUUUUUCUUCAUACUACCAUUUCAGACAACCUAAGGUUCCAGUAUUAAGUAUAGCACUGGAGACGUAUUUAAAUCUCAUAUUGUUUUAAAGUGUAUUGGUUUCACCACUACAUGUGAUCCCCAUCCUUUGUUUAUCUGUCAUGACCUUUGUUUUUGUAAGGCAACCAUGAAACCUCUUUUGACAAUCACUACUUUCAAGCACAGAACCUUGGUAGUGAUCCUUAGAUUUUACUUGAAACCUUACAGAAAAAUGACCCAGGAUGAGCAUUCAAGGUAGAAAAUUAGUAGAUUGCACUUUGUUUUAUUAUGAAAAUUUCAGAAAAUGGAUAUUUGAGGGGCCACUGAACAAGUAUUGAACGAAGAAUAAUCUGAAUCAUUUCUAGAAAAGCUUGCUCCUUCCACACCAAGAAGCUACUUUCAAGUUGUAGUUGUCAACCAAGUUACUACCAAGCUCCUGCUAUUCCUCAGCAUCAUGGAACUAAAGAAAAAUUAGAAUCCUCAAAAUUAAGCAACUUGCUAUGAUUAUGCCUCAAGAAUGCUCAGGUUAUAAUCCAACAUUUAGGAUAGGAUUAUAAACUACUAACACCAAGCAGUGCAGUUAGAUAAAUGUUUGUCAUGAGCUGUGGCUAACUGGCCACAUUGCAGAUACCUCAGAGUUACAUAGAUCUCAUGAAUGCUA